RNAcentral lists this ribosomal RNA (468 nucleotides) under uncultured bacterium. RNAcentral's name for it is "partial 16S ribosomal RNA". It matches the Rfam family "Bacterial small subunit ribosomal RNA", at positions 28 to 507 of the family's 1533-position model. The record is from RNAcentral.
GACGAACGCUGGCGGCGUGCUUAACACAUGCAAGUCGAACGGAAAGGCCCUGCUUUUGUGGGGUGCUCGAGUGGCGAACGGGUGAGUAACACGUGAGUAACCUGCCCUUGACUUUGGGAUAACUUCAGGAAACUGGGGCUAAUACCGGAUAGGAGCUCCUGCUGCAUGGUGGGGGUUGGAAAGUUUCGGCGGUUGGGGAUGGACUCGCGGCUUAUCAGCUUGUUGGUGGGGUAGUGGCUUACCAAGGCUUUGACGGGUAGCCGGCCUGAGAGGGUGACCGGCCACAUUGGGACUGAGAUAACGCCCAGAAUACUACGGGAGGCAGCAGUGGGGAAUAUUGCACAAUGGGCGGAAGCCUGAUGCAGCAACGCCGCGUGCGGGAUGACGGCCUUCGGGUUGUAAACCGCUUUCGCCUGUGACGAAGCGUGAGUGACGGUAAUGGGUAAAGAAGCACCGGCUAACUACGUG